UAAAGUUGUAAUAUUGCAAUCUGAUAAAAUUUAUCNNNNNNNNNNNNNNNNNNNNNNNNNNNNNNNNNNNNNNNNNNNNNNUGGACAGAGGAGCCUGGUAGGCUACAGUCUAUGGGGUCGCAAAGAGUCGACAUGACUAAAGUCGGAAGUGACUGAGUGACUUCACUUUCACUUUCACUUUCAAAAGGAACAUGCUGUAUGAGAAAGAUAAAAACUCAGCCAAUAAGAUAAUAUAUUUAAUAAAAUAUUGUUUCACAAGUUCUUAAAAACUUUCAAAUAUUAUUUCACACGAUCCUCAUAAGAACAUUGUAUAGUAAUCUGAAUAGGUUUAAAAUCUACCUGUGAGCAUGAGGAAACUGACACUCAGAGAGGGCGUGACUUACCUAAUGUCACAUGGAUAGAAUGAGAUGGGGCUGGGAUGAUGACCUAGUCUUGUCGCUUCAGUGAGUUCUCUUUCCACAGGCGUUUCUUUUACUGAGAAAAGANNNNNNNNNNNUUUAUUUAUCUUUCAAGAAAAUUUAAAAUUUACAGGUUAUCAACUCAGAAAAAAAAAUCUCUAAACUAUUUUGGAACAUAAGCAUUCCCUGAAAUUAAUUCCCCCGGUUAGUGUCUUGAGUUGGUUACAGUUGAGUUGGCUACAAUCCAAUCUUGAAAUGUUAUUCUUCUGAAGAGAGGCUGGGAUAAUCAGGCAAUGAAGGUGAGCAACCGCACAAUCUACUUACGGUACUUUGUGGUGCUUAGAGAUAAGAGUCACUACAAGUCCUGAAGUAUCAGAGGCUUUGACUUCUGUAAAUGCGAAGGGACCCUGCAUAAGGCAUUUCUAAGAGAUUAACUUGGUUUUCUAAGUGAGAAAUGGAACCUCAGAUGCAAUAAAAUUAUGGAAGUGUUGGUGUUUGUUCUUAAUCCAAAUCAAUAAUUUAAUCCUCAUAUAGAUUUGAGAAUCAAUGUUUUAUUUUAUUUUUAAUAUAAAAAUCAAUCUUUGGGGACAACCACAACCUUUACAUGAAUAUUUUUAUCUCCUGAAAUAGUGUCAAGAAUAUAUCUUUAUAAUCUUUAAACGAAGAUGUGAAUUCUAGGGGAAUAGCAAGCUGACACUACAAACAGACAGCAUCCAGGAUGCCCGAGACAUGCAAAUGGAAAAU
Molecule: long non-coding RNA, 1142 nt
Filed under: Capra hircus (goat)
Lineage: Eukaryota; Metazoa; Chordata; Mammalia; Artiodactyla; Bovidae
Description: lncRNA (ENSCHIG00010027136.1)
Source: RNAcentral